Molecule: long non-coding RNA, 2050 nt
Filed under: Homo sapiens (human)
Lineage: Eukaryota; Metazoa; Chordata; Mammalia; Primates; Hominidae
Description: non-protein coding lnc-P2RY1-1:1
Source: RNAcentral
UGAUGAUUGAAGUAUGUUUAUUGUAAGGGCAGAAAUGUGUUGGCAUUUGGAUAAAAAACUGCUAACAUUAUAGAACUUAUUACCUAACAAAAUUUCACACCACAAAAAAUAUUUUAAUGGCAAAUUCAAGGUGUUUUAUUGCUUACAAAUCAGCAUCUUUGACUCUUUGAACAUCAAUUUGUGUUUACAUUGAAAUGACAAAAAGACAAACUAAGAAGAAAUACAGCAUGCAAGUUGGAAUUCAGAGUUAAAACCAUGAUGUUGCCGCUCAGCCAGCUAUGUGACUGUUGACCCUUUCAAGAACACACAUGGAUUUAAAAGUUGGAUGACAUCCAUUGUUGGGGCCUUGGGGGAUAUGGUAAAGCAUGAAAACUAAACAGCCAGGAGCCUGUGAAAUCUGCUACUGUAUUUUCCAGGACUUCAUUCCACUCCUUGGCUAAAAAAAUCUUGGAAGUUUCACAGAUUAUGAUGUGGACCUGUCACCUGUAAAUUGUCUCAAUCUACUCAGACAAGACACUAAACUGUCUUUGGAUACUAUAGAUGUCAGUGCUUAUAGCAGCUGGAAUUUGGCUAGUGACAAUGUUUAAAGAUGUAAUACUAGUUAGUAUCUAUUGAAGCUUAAACUUUGCUGGUCAGGUUGUAGCUAUUGUAAAAGUAUUUAUUGAAGAAGCUCACAGUCCUUCAGUUGUACAGACUGAAAAACUUUCAUGAAAGAUCCAACAUACUAAUGUAAAUUAUAUUUAUUACAAUGUAUGAUAUUAAUGUGUCAAACUGGUGUAUUUUACAAAAUAUAUAAUGCAUACAUAAAUAAGAGUUGUAUAUUACAGUGCUUUUCAAAUAUCAGUGUCUUGGAAUAUUUAAGUCUUCACAUUUUUUGGUCUAAAAUAUGAAAAUGUUUCAUGAUACAAGUGAUUAAUUUUCCCUAGUAGUGCUUUUGCAUGUUUGCCUUUUUAUUUAAGUUUUUUUCUAUAUAGACACAAUUUGGUGUCAGACUAUCAUAAGAUCGAUAGUGAAUAUAAAAUAUCUUAGCCAAAUGGGGUCUGUAUUGUCUACAUUUUAUAUAUUAAAUAAAAGUUUUUGUUGUCUUUUCAGGAGGUUUAGAGUAUUGUCACUAAAUAUGAUCAAAGCUUCCCUUUCCAAAUGCAAAAGUCUUGUCCUACAUUUAAAGUUGAUCUGUCAUGUUUUAGCAGUCAAGUGGGAUGGGCAUUAUAUAAACAACGUUACAAUGUAAGGAAAAUCUUUAAGGAGAUGGGGAGAGAAAAAGGCAGCUGGUAUAAUCGGUUACUGCUGCUUAGUUCUACUUAAUUUUUUGUGUUGCUUCUUCUUAAGGUGAGAUAGCAUAAUCUUAACUGUUUUGAGAUGGAAUUUUAAAGUAACACACUACCAGCGAGUUCAACACUGCUAUUGAUUUUAAUCUGUUUUUUUUUGUUUAGUUGAUAACUUAAAUUCCAAGUUUCAUAGUGAUAAUUGUAUAUUAUUUGGCUGCUGAAUUCUGUUAGAGUUUUUUAUUCUGUUGUACAUUGUAUUAUACACAUAAUCACAAAUUAAUAUGAAGGUGAAUAUAUGUUACAUAUCAAAAUUUGUGAAUUUGAAUUAUAGUAUGUUUUAGUGCUAUUGCAAAAAAUGUUUAUUUUUAUAUUAUCUGUGAUUUUAAUAUAGAUGAUUGAACUAGAUUUCUUUUUGAGUGAUAGUGCCAUUGAAUGAGCAGUAUGGAAACAGUGUUACUUGAUAUUUUGAGCUUUCUCAGGUUUAUCUAAAUCAGUGGUAGCUUAACAAAACCCAGACUAAUUGUGUGUAAUUGUAUUUUUAAUAAAAGGAAAGUACAUUUCCUAUAAUAGCAUAGUACUGUUUGCAUGUAAGAGUAUGCAAAACCUUGUGUGUGUGUGUGUGUGUGUGUGUGUGUGUGUGUCUUAGUGUGUGUAAGGCAUGGCAGCCAACUUUGUAUCUGCUAUUUUUAGUACGAGCAGAGCUUCAUAAUUGUGGUCACUAGAACUGUACUUACCAUGGACAGUUAAAACUGAAAAAGACUCAAUAAAACUAUGAAACAUGG